RNAcentral lists this ribosomal RNA (857 nucleotides) under beta proteobacterium ALI-LH17. RNAcentral's name for it is "bacterial SSU rRNA". It matches the Rfam family "Bacterial small subunit ribosomal RNA", at positions 122 to 975 of the family's 1533-position model. The record is from RNAcentral. Lineage: Bacteria; Pseudomonadati; Pseudomonadota; Betaproteobacteria.
UAACGAUCCCGAAACUGGGGGAUAACGUAGCGAAAGUUUCGCUCAUACCGCAUACGAUCUAAGGAUGAAAGUGGGGGAUCGCAAGACCUCAUGCUCGUGGAGCGGCCGAUAUCUGAUUAGCUAGUUGGUAGGGUAAAAGCCUACCAAGGCAUCGAUCAGUAGCUGGUCUGAGAGGACGACCAGCCACACUGGAACUGAGACACGGUCCAGACUCCUACGGGAGGCAGCAGUGGGGAAUUUUGGACAAUGGGCGAAAGCCUGAUCCAGCAAUGCCGCGUGAGUGAAGAAGGCCUUCGGGUUGUAAAGCUCUUUUGUCAGGGAAGAAACGGUGAGAGCUAAUAUCUCUUGCUAAUGACGGUACCUGAAGAAUAAGCACCGGCUAACUACGUGCCAGCAGCCGCGGUAAUACGUAGGGUGCAAGCGUUAAUCGGAAUUACUGGGCGUAAAGCGUGCGCAGGCGGUUUUGUAAGUCUGAUGUGAAAUCCCCGGGCUCAACCUGGGAAUUGCAUUGGAGACUGCAAGGCUAGAAUCUGGCAGAGGGGGGUAGAAUUCCACGUGUAGCAGUGAAAUGCGUAGAUAUGUGGAGGAACACCGAUGGCGAAGGCAGCCCCCUGGGUCAAGAUUGACGCUCAUGCACGAAAGCGUGGGGAGCAAACAGGAUUAGAUACCCUGGUAGUCCACGCCCUAAACGAUGUCUACUAGUUGUCGGGUCUUAAUUGACUUGGUAACGCAGCUAACGCGUGAAGUAGACCGCCUGGGGAGUACGGUCGCAAGAUUAAAACUCAAAGGAAUUGACGGGGACCCGCACAAGCGGUGGAUGAUGUGGAUUAAUUCGAUGCAACGCGAAAAACCUUACC